CCGCUGCCCUGCAGAGCGACCCGACCCCUCGGCAAGUUCUUCCUCCUGCUUUGGGGCAGACGGGCUUUUGUUUCUGACGGGGCAGUUGGCUCGUGUCUUGGGGCCAUGGUGCCUGAACACGUGUCCUGCGCAUAGAAGCACUAGCUUCCCGCGGACGGCGGCGCACUGCAGCCAGCUGGGGCCGCUGAGAGCGCUGGCCUGGGCGCCCUUCCCUGCCCUUCCGUCCCGUGUCAUCACGCUGCUGGUUUGAAAUGCGCCACAGUGGGAGUGGGUGCCACGGGACUGGCAACUGCUGGAGAGCAGGGCCCCUCCUCCUGAAGAGCCAGCUGUGGGGCAGGUGCCAGCCCAGCACUGCCCCCGGGCAGCAGGUGGGAGCGGGAGGCGGACCAGGGGCCCGAGGGAGCCGCGGAUUCACGGCCUCCAGCCCAGCUCACUCCAGGCGCCUCAGAUGAAAGGGUGAAAGGGUUUGUAAACUGGAAAGAGCUCUACGAGCAGGAGGUGCUGAUGAUUUAGCUCGUGUCGCCUGGCAGCCUGGAGACCUCAGGAAACACCACUGGGUGGGAUCAGCGGGAAGAGUGUACGGGGCCUCCUUGAUCCAUGGUCACACUUCUCAGUCCUGAAUCCCAGGCAGGGCUCGGACCACACGGCCAUGGGCACAGGGGCCCGUUCCCAUGAGCUGAGCACAGGACCGCCCCACCGCCCACCUUUGGGGGCCGCUCACCCACCAGAAUGGUUUCCUCUGGCCUCCCAGCCUCACCGAACGGACAGAGCUCCCAGUAGCCUCACUGGGACGAAACCGCUGCUUUUCUCUUUUGACACCGCAGCACAGCAUAUUACCGAUUUUAGAAAGUACCCACAAACAAAAGACUUAAGAUGUUAAAGUGCUGUAUUUAAUGGAUUCCUCAGCGACUAUAUCGAGACCACGCACACCCUGCGCAUCCUGCCUGUGCUCACAGUCAGAGCCCGUUGGGUUGAAGAGGCAGCAGCCACCCUGGGGGGUGCCCCAUCUCCCCUGCUGCCCUGCCUCUCCCCAGCCUUUUAGGGAGCAGGUGAGGUGAAGCUCUCAGCUGCAGCCACGGAAGGAGGUUGCAUGUCCUUGAGAAUGAGGUCUGUUCUGGGGCCCUGGGGCCUUUCUCUGGAAGGCCGGAGCGGUCCUGGCUCUUCCGGUCAGCCUCUGGCCCUGGACUUGCCAGUGUGCUGUUUGGAUCAGAGAAUGAAGCCAGAGAGUGGAAAAGGGGGGGCAGGAAGAGGCUUUCAAGGGGCCUUGGUGGGACCCUGACAGCAGGAACACUGGGUAUAGGGACAUCCGUUUGAGGUUUAUGAGUGAUGGAUUGCUAAUUUCCUCCUCUUCUGAGUUCCUGCUCUGCAAAAUCCAGUCCUUCCCCCUUUGUGUCUCCUUUACUGUCACCGGUCACCAAACUCACACUUCUGAUACCAGAUCUGAGGGUUUUCCCCUACAUCAAACAAUUCUGGGACGCCAGAAUUGUUGAUUCCUACCAUUCAACUCAAUUCUGACACUGUCUACUUAGAGAUCCCACAAGACCAUCACCGCCCCCUCACCUCCCUGCAACACACACACACACACACACACACACACACACACGCUCUCGAGGCUGUUACCUGUGCUUCUGACUGAUCACCUGUAAAUUAGAGGUUCCCAUGAACCCCUCCUCAGAUUCAAUUAAUUUGCUAGAAUGGCUCAGAGGACUCAAGAAAAGUUUGCUUACAGUUUUCCCAGCUUAUUAAAAGAUGAUAAACGACACAGAUGAAUGUUCAAAUGGAAGACAGGUGUAAGGCAAGGUGUGUUAGAAGGGGUCCCCUGACUCCCUGACCCCCUAGGCACACCACUCUCCCCACACCUCCAUGUGUGGGCCAACCUGGAAGCUCUGUGAACCCCAUACUAUUCGGAUUUUUACAGAGGCUCCCCACAUAGGCCUGAUGGACUGCUAACCCCAUUUCCUGCCCUGCUACCCUCUCUGGAGAAAUGGGUGGGGCUGAAACUCCUAAGCUGCUAAUCAUGGCUUGGUCUCUCUGGCAGCCAGCCCCCCACCUGGAAGCCACCUCAUUAGAACAAAAGACAUUGCUCUUACCAGGAAAUUCCUAGGGAUUUUGGAACUAUGAGUCAGGAACUGGGGGUCAAAGCUGAACAUUGGAACAAAAGAUGCUCCUAGUACUCUUAUCACUUAGGAAAUUACAAGGUUUCAGGAGCUCUGGGCCAGGAACUGGGGCCAGAGACCAAUAUAUGAAUUUUCUAUUAUUUCACAGUUAUCGACCAUUGAUGGUCCCACUGGCCCCUCACGCUCAGACCCCUGGGCUGGGGCUCCCCUUCCUGCCCAGGGUCUCUAUAGGCCAGCACACUCCCUGCUGCGCAGCUUGGGGUCUGUCUGCCUCCACCCCUCCCAUCCAGUGUUUUGCCAAGCGAAUCUACACCCUGUCUCCACCCUGUCACCUCUGUACCCCAUCCUGACCCUGACUCCGCCCCUCAUCUCUGCCUGGAUUUUGGUGACGUGUCCUGUGACGUCUCCUGUCUGGCCCCUUGGCUCGAGUGUCCCCCAGGAGGCCUGAUUGUCCUGAAGAAUCCUCCUGAACUAGCCUCUGGUCCUGCCUCAGCCCUGUUCAGAGAGCUUCACUGAUGGCAGCUUAUCGCAGAGUUUAUUUCAGAUGCCUCAGCCUUGCUUUCAGCAUCCUCUACAGCCUCCCUGCUCGAAGCGAAGCGGGGUCCUCAGACCUGCAGCACCAGCGUCACCUGGGAGCUUGUGAGAAAUGCAGAAUCUGGGGCCCCCCAGGCCUCCUGAAUCAGAAUCUGCUUCUUAACAAGAUUGCCAAGUGAAUCGGAUGCAUAUUCAAGCAGGAAGAGUGCUGGCAUUGAGCUCAGGAUUUUUUCCUCUCCAUCCCUUCUCUCUUCCUGGGGUUGCUAGUUAUCUGUGUGUAUCUCCACUGGCAGUCCCAUACUGCUCCUCUUUGUUCUAAUUGCUUUCCAAUUAUAUUCUCUAUAAUAAUUUUCUCGUCCUGUCUUCCACAUCACUGGUAUGGUUUCCUGUAGUGUUGAUUGCAUUCUUCACAUUUUUUAAAUCUGCAAAAGAAUUACUUUUCUCCUCAAUUAUUUUCUUAGCCCACCCCCCAUCCGCUUGUGAUAUCUUCGUUCUUCUUUCCUCUCCAGUUUCGUCAGCCUUUUGCAAACUCUUGUUCCAUUAUUUUGGAAGACCAGAUAUUUGUGCAGGUCUCAUGUCAGUGUUUUUCUUUCUUGCUGCUUUUUCACCUUUGAUCGGGGUCUGUCUACUUGCCCUGUCUGGGUCCAUUGCUCCUAGGGUCCAAACUGGUGCACUUUGUGGUCUCAGGGUUAGAGUGUUAGCAUUUCAUAUUCAUUUCUAUGAUAAUCUGAACAUUACUAUGUGAGAUUCCGGAUCCUGCAGGUGACCGCCGCAUGGGGAGGGCUUUUCAGUUCGCUUUUGUCCUAAAGCACCCCACGGGAGGGCCCGGUGACAACACAGAGCAUGACCCUGCUGGGGGCUGCUGAGUGCGCGGUUUAUGUGGAGGAGAUGGGUGGGAGGGAAGGCCCUGGGGGGGGGGGGUGCAGAAUGACUACGAUGACACAUGCUGAGCCUUGGGGUGCACCCACGGCCCUGAGCGCUGACCACAUAUCAUGAACUCAGUGACUCAUGCAGCAGCGCUGUGAGGGAAGGCCUUUGAUGACUCCACCCCCAGGCAGGUGAGAGACUGAGGCACGGGGAGACCCCUGCUCAAGUAGACAGCAGGAAGUGGGGUCGGGUACAGAGUAGGCAGUGUGGCCCCAAAGUCCCAUUUCUCCCCAUGAGUGAGAAGACUCACUCCAUUCGCCCACAGGUCACUUCAUCUAAAGCCAGUUUGCUGACAGGCAGUUGACAGAAUCCAUUUCCUAAAUGAGCAAAUCACUGAAUGACCAAUUUGCUUAAUUUGCUAAACUUAUCAAGUAUUUACUUCUACCAAUUAUUGAUACAGUUUAUGACAAUUUGAAUAGGGUGGAUUCACAGGGUUCAUGAGAAUUGGGGGGAGCAAGGACCCCAGGGUUCUGGGUCAGACUGCCUCCUGACCUCAGUCUCCCCUCUCUCUGCCUGUCAGCCCCCUCAUCAUGCUGCCCCCACACCCCCUUUCAGGGGCCACCCAUUCAGUCUGUCCUAUGAACUGACUUCCCUUCUUUCUUCUAGCAGGGAACUGGGUAGAGAAACAGCACACAUUGCUUAAGGUCCUCGUAGAAGAAGUAAUGAAAACCUGUCAACUAAAAUACAGAAGAAAUCUUCAAGAGCUGUUAAACCAUUCCAUCCAAUAUGAAUUGCUUUAAGCGUUAUACAUAGUUCAAAGAAAGAAGUUUCUGGUAAAUGGACAGAUUUGAUCAUUACAGUGAGAUGACAAUCUUCGCUGAAGUGGCAUCUGGCAACUGGGCUUACUUCUGCCCACCAGCACCUCUCAAACAGGCACGCCAACUCGAAAGUUCCUGCUCCAUAGCUGUCAGGGGCAUAUCUGACUUGCAAGCAAAGAUUUGGGAUUCUAGCUUUGUGGCACCAACUUAUUAAAGUUCAUUAGCAGUCAUAUAAUAAAUACCCACGAUUGUAGCAAAGGC
Manis javanica (Malayan pangolin) is the source of this 4597-nucleotide non-coding RNA. Lineage: Eukaryota; Metazoa; Chordata; Mammalia; Pholidota; Manidae. The record is from RefSeq and is a predicted model, not a curated record.